CCCUUAGAUGUUCUGGGCAGCACGCGCGCUACAAUGGUCUUCGCAAACGGAUGCAUUCUCGAAGGAGAAUGCCAAUCUUGGAAUCUAUGCCUUGGUCGGGACAGUUGCUUGCAAUUUUUCGACUCGAACCAGGAAUUCCUUGUAAUCGUGAUUCAUCACAUCACGAUGAAUACGUCCCUGCCCUUUGUACACACCGCCCGUCGCUCCUACCGAUCGAAGAGUUAGGUGAAUUGUUUUGAUCGAUAAGAUUUGACUAUGGUCAACUCUCGUUGUGAAAUUCUGUGAAUCUGACGGUUGAGAGGAAGGAAAAGGCGUAACA
This 319-nucleotide ribosomal RNA is filed under the name uncultured eukaryote. RNAcentral describes it as "partial 18S ribosomal RNA". It matches the Rfam family "Eukaryotic small subunit ribosomal RNA", at positions 1470 to 1796 of the family's 1831-position model. The record is from RNAcentral.